This is a non-coding RNA of Canis lupus familiaris (dog), 127 nucleotides long. NCBI's taxonomy places the organism in Eukaryota, Metazoa, Chordata, Mammalia, Carnivora, Canidae. The record is from Rfam.
UAGCAGGCUGCGGACAUGGGCAGCCCGGGUCCAGGUCAUUGAUGGUGCAGAGAAAGGAUUUUUUGAAAGCGCUUCCCCGUGUUUGAAGGGACCCUUCCUGUCCCUUCCAAACCUGGAGCAUUCUGCA